Lactuca sativa (garden lettuce) is the source of this 1911-nucleotide non-coding RNA. Lineage: Eukaryota; Viridiplantae; Streptophyta; Magnoliopsida; Asterales; Asteraceae. The record is from RefSeq and is a predicted model, not a curated record.
UUAGUUUAAUCCAUCCAAGGUUAAGGCAUCAUCUUCUUCUUCCAAUCAGAUUUCUGCCUUUCCACCGCUUCAUUCUUCACCGAUGUAUAUCAUCACGCGACUUCCAAUUCAUUCAACAUCAAAACCGCUCUUCGUAUUCUCCGGUCGUGAAGUCGGCAACACGAUGACUACUGUCACUCAUCAUCUUCGCACGUCUGCAAGUGCUGAGUUAAAAUUCUGCACUUGAAGCUAUCGAUUUUGAUUUUUCUGUAUUCUUCAAGCCUCCUACAAGCGAGUUGGACCACAGAGACCACUAUGCACCUCCCUCCCUGUGACGACAUCGGAAAGGAAAGCCAUCGCAGUAAACAUGGGUUUCCGUUAUCAGAAUCGAGGGCGGUUGUGGUGAUUGCUGUAGCGAUUAAUGGAGGCGGUGCAAAGGAUAUUGAACGGAACUCUGUAGGGUGAUGUCCAGUAUAAUGAACUGCUAGAAGAAUGUAAUGGCUGUUGAAUUCAAUUGACAAAUGGCACAGAGUUUUCUUGGUAUUUCAGAUUGGGUAUCCACCACUCUUAGAUGCAACAACACUUCUGUUUUGGACACAAGUAGCACAAGAAUAUGGUGAAGAAUUGAGCGACUUCUGACUCAGGUUACCAAAUUAGUUUAUAGUCAAUGGUAGAAAAUGCUAAUUUUGUUUUGAAAUACUUAAAAUGAAUCAAAUAAUCGGAAUUACCUUACAGGAAACACAACGGAUAAAACUAUUCAGAGGGAAAUGGGGUGUGUCAUUACUUAUAAUUGACACAAAGAAUUACCCCCGUCUUGCAAUUUUGGUUCUUAUAGAAGGUUUUAUAUUGAUUUUGGUCUUUUACUCAUUACCUUUCAAAAUCCUUUUGUUAAAUUUGUACAGAUGACCAUUUUGCCUUUUUUUUUGUUCUUGCGAUAUGUGAUUUUUCCUUCGUGCAGUAAAAAAAUAAAUCCUUUUGCCAUUUUUAUGGUUUCAGUACAAAAAGAAAGGCAAAAUGGUGAUUAUUAUUACUAUCAAUUGAACUUUUUGAACUUUGCUCAUUUUCUGUGUAUAUGGGGUUUCCUUUUGCCUUUUUUUUUUCCUUUUCCUUCAAAAUAUAGACAAAGAUAUUUCUUUAUAUAUCAUAAUUUAAUGCAAGGAAAGUAAAUGAGUUUGAUAAAAUUAGACAAACAUAUUUCUUUCUAUAUCGUAAUUUAAUGUAAGGAAAGUAAAUGAGUUUUGAUAAAAAUAAAAAAUUACAGGAAAAUAGGAAGUACCAAAAGCAUGGAUAACAAUCAAUUGAACUUUUAUCUUUUUCUGUGAAAGCAUGAAUACUUUUUGAACUUUUAUGUUUUAGGUUUUAGUCAUUUUAGAGCAGCAGCCGAACAAAAGUACAAAACUUGAAGAGGCAAAAUCAGACAACCAAUCCAUGGAAGACAACCUGGCAUUCAUGAGCGGAUCAAUCCAUAGGAGAAUUGCAACUUACAAAUGUCUUAUAAAAGAAGCAUGCACGGACUAGAUGAACUUUACCUUCUGAUUAAACUAAAAAAUAUACAAAAUGAAACAAAUAUAAAAAAUAGAAUGGUAAGAGAUAACACAAAGAUGUAGGAAUAAUAUUCUGGUAAUGUACGGAAACAAACAAAAAAAUAGAAAAGCUAAGGCAUGUGUUUAACACAUUGUCCAUCAAACAAAUUCGCCGGCUACCGAGUGUUUGUUUCCCAGGAUACAACAGUUUGAAGUGGUUCUUCUAGACCACCCAAACCCUCAAUAGGCCUGGAUUAUAUCCUUAAGAUAGCUAGAAAAAGAAGAAGAUGAAGUCGGGAAGAAAAGAGUUUUCUUACAUUCUUUUGGUGUACUCAAAUGGUUGUAGAGUAGUGAUAUUUAUACUAUACAUUCUAUAACAUUCCAUUUAAACAUGUCUAUUAAUCACAAA